AUGUAGUUAAAAUAGAUUGGAAAAUCGUUGUUACUAUUUUUCCCUUCUCUCUCUUCUUCUGUACGCACCAACGCGUUUCUUUCUUCCAUCUUCCUUCAACAAACCACCACCAUCCCCCAUCUUUCCGGCGUCGAUCCGGCCGCCAUGUCUACGGAUCGGAUGAAAUAACAUGGUUUUCCUUAUCCAUUCAACGAGAUCUUUUCAUUCAUCCAAUUAGUUUUUGGAAAGGAGCAUCUUUUCCGCUGACCCUUUUCUUCCUCUUCCACGAAUGUACAGAACCACAGUGUUAAGGUUCUCUAAGCAGCCAUUAACUUCUCCAAGCAAGUUAUCAAUGAAGAUGUUGUACAUGAUGACAUAGAUGAGGAAUUUCAAGAGGAAGACGUAGAUGAUGAAUUUCUUGAGGACGAAUUUCUUGAGGACAACUUAAGUGAUGAAUUUCAGGAGGAUGAUAUAGAUGAUGAAUUUCAAGAGGAUGACCUAGAUGAUGAAAUUCAAGAGGAUGAAAUCGAUGAUGAAUUUGAAGUGGACGAUUUGGCUGAUGAAUUACAAGAUAAACUUGAAUGAUCGAGUUGGAUGGUGUUUUAUUUUGGAUUGUAGUUAAUUCCACUAAACUUGUCUGAAAUAUAGUUUUGUUAUAUUACUAGGCUUAUACUUCGAAGCAUUAAACUUAUCAAGUAAUGUUUCACAUUUUGAUUACUAUUAUGUCUUGAAUUAAUAUUUGAACUAUUUUAUUAUAUUA
Molecule: long non-coding RNA, 739 nt
Organism: Medicago truncatula (barrel medic)
Lineage: Eukaryota; Viridiplantae; Streptophyta; Magnoliopsida; Fabales; Fabaceae
Exons: 3
Source: RefSeq, a predicted model, not a curated record